UGGUCGGGAUAGCUCAGCUGGUAGAGCAGAGGACUGAAA
This 39-nucleotide transfer RNA is filed under the name Ostrya rehderiana. RNAcentral's name for it is "partial tRNA-Phe". The record is from RNAcentral. Lineage: Eukaryota; Viridiplantae; Streptophyta; Magnoliopsida; Fagales; Betulaceae. RNAcentral also lists the same sequence under 1 other name.